GGAGAGGUGACAGAGUGGCCGAAUGUGCUAGACUCGAAAUCUAGUGUCUGGGCAACUGGACCGUGGGUUCGAAUCCCACCCUCUCCGCCA
This 90-nucleotide transfer RNA is filed under the name Deltaproteobacteria bacterium. Its description in RNAcentral is "tRNA-Ser". It matches the Rfam family "tRNA". From Rfam's summary of the family: Transfer RNA (tRNA) molecules are approximately 80 nucleotides in length. The record is from RNAcentral. Lineage: Bacteria; Pseudomonadati; Myxococcota; Myxococcia.